Carya illinoinensis is the source of this 1777-nucleotide long non-coding RNA. RefSeq lists it as uncharacterized. The record is from RefSeq and is a predicted model, not a curated record. Lineage: Eukaryota; Viridiplantae; Streptophyta; Magnoliopsida; Fagales; Juglandaceae. The transcript is spliced from 3 exons.
AUAUAUUUGCCAAAGUCUUUUUCUCUUUCCCUUUUGGUAUAGAGAUUUAUUAAGGCUGUUUAUUGUUGCAGCCCAAGCACUUCCUUUCAUUAAAUCUAGUAUUGAUUAGCAUUUUCUUUCAUAUUAGUUAGGCUGUUUAAUUUAGUUAGUUGUUGAUCUUUGGUAUGCUCUAAUUUUUGGGUUUUAAGUUUUAUUCUUUUUUGUUUUGUUUAUGAUCUUUUAAUUUUAGUGUGUAUAUAUUUUUUCCCACGAUACUGUUUAUAGUUUCUUGUGUUUAAUGAAAACAAACAGGUAUGGCAUAGAGCAGGAGUCCCAACUUUUUCAAAAAAUAUGUAAAAUGGCCACAUUUGACAUAUCUUUUGUUUGUCAAUUUGCAGUCUCUACUUGUAUGAUAUCUAUGCUGUAACUUUGAUUUAAUCUCCAAUUUUUCUGGAUUCCUCUGUUCCCAAAAUUCUGUUGGGAUUAGAAAUUGUGGCCUCUUGUUGGUCAUCCUGGACAUUUCAUGUACUACCUCACUUGUCAGCAGAAGGAACAGAGCUGAGCAGGUUCUUUAGGGUGGGGUUGCAUUUACUUUAAACUACAUGAUUACUGGGCUAUGCUGCAUGGUGAGCCUGGGCUCCUCUACAAACCAUUUCUUGUUGCUGCCUUCAGUGUGGAACUUUUAGGUUUUAGCAUGUAAUUUGAUUGUCCAGGAAACUGCAUUCACAGCAAAGUGGCCAGUCACAGCCGCCCUUCAUUAUUCGCCACGUUUCUUCAGGAAUUUUCAUGAUGUAGGAACAGCAUGCUGUUGAAACCAUAUUUGAUCUGAAUUUGAGUUGUCCUGGUUCUAAUUCAAUACCACAUACUCCUUUUCUCUAUUCAUACAAGUCUCCUUGCUGUUUAUACAUGGUGUAAGUGGAAGUCUUUUUGUUUGAUUACAGGGACCAUGCUACUGGGGUGUUGGUGCUGCAAGGCCUUUGGCCAUGCUAUUUUGGAUGCUCAUUACAAAGCCUACCUAUAUGCUGGCAUCAACAUCAGUGGCACCAAUGGAGAAGUGAUGUCUGGCCAAGGUGACUGGAAUGGGGCUGGUGCUCACGCUAACUAUUGGUAUCAUGUGAAUGUGAUCUAUUGGUAGGGAAUUUUCUUUAAGAUUUUCCUCAGUAUAGUAUGGCUUGAAGGUAAUUCCUUGUAGUUGUGCAAAAUUCCCUUCGUAAUUUUGUACAUAUAGUUAUGGCAUCUCCUCUUGUUUGGCUUCUGGUGAAUUCUGCACCAAGUCCAUCAGAAGUGAUGGAGAGUACGAAACCACCAAUAAAAAGGCCAUUGAAAAGUUAGGGUUGAGGCACAAGGAACACAUUGCAGCUUACGGGGAAGGAAACGAGCACCGUCUCACUAAAAGGACAAGACUUCAGACAUCAACAACUUCAUUUGGGGAGUAGGAAGCAAUGGAGCCACCAUUAGAGUUGGUAGGGAGACAUAGAAAGUUGGCAGAGAUUAUUUUGAGGACAGAAGAUCAGGUUCUAACAUGGAUCCAUAUGUGGUCACCUCGAUGAUAGCUGAGUCCACCAUCCUCUGGCAUCCAUGAGAAGAUUACUCAACCAUUUCCCUGUGGUCUAUCAUUAUAAUUAUCCCCAAUUCUUCCAUUGCUAUCUUACUUAGUUUCAGCAUUUAUUUAGCCGUGGCCCCCUUGACUUUCAAGAUUAUGUUCAUAAAGACUAGGAUUCUGGGAACAAAACAUCAAAAUGACUGAAUUUUUUAGUUUUUGUUAUUAAAAAAACUGAUAAAUUGCACUUUUAUCCAA